RNAcentral lists this ribosomal RNA (384 nucleotides) under uncultured bacterium. RNAcentral's name for it is "bacterial SSU rRNA". It matches the Rfam family "Bacterial small subunit ribosomal RNA", at positions 28 to 417 of the family's 1533-position model. The record is from RNAcentral.
GACGAACGCUAGCGGCGUGCUUAACACAUGCAAGUCGAGCGGUAAGGCCUUUCGGGGUACACGAGCGGCGAACGGGUGAGUAACACGUGGGUGAUCUGCCUUGCACUUCGGGAUAAGCCUGGGAAACUGGGUCUAAUACCGGAUAUGACCAUGGGAUGCAUGUCUUGUGGUGGAAAGAUUUAUCGGUGCGAGAUGGGCCCGCGGCCUAUCAGCUUGUUGGUGGGGUAAGGCCUACCAAGGCGACGACGGGUAGCCGACCUGAGAGGGUGACCGGCCACACUGGGACUGAGACACGGCCCAGACUCCUACGGGAGGCAGCAGUGGGGAAUAUUGCACAAUGGGCGAAAGCCUGAUGCAGCGACGCCGCGUGCGGGAUGACGGCCU